CCUACGGGCUGCAGCAGUGGGGAAUAUUGGACAAUGGGCGAAAGCCUGAUCCAGCCAUGCCGCGUGUGUGAAGAAGGCCUUCGGGUUGUAAAGCACUUUCAGUGGGGAAGAAAGCCUUGGGGCUAAUACCCUCGAGGAAGGACAUCACCCACAGAAGAAGCACCGGCUAACUCCGUGCCAGCAGCCGCGGUAAUACGGAGGGUGCGAGCGUUAAUCGGAAUUACUGGGCGUAAGGCGCGCGUAGGCGGUCUGAUAAGCCGGUUGUGAAAGCCCCGGGCUCAACCUGGGAACGGCAUCCGGAACUGUCAGGCUGGAGUGCAGGAGAGGAAGGUAGAAUUCCCGGUGUAGCGGUGAAAUGCGUAGAGAUCGGGAGGAAUACCAGUGGCGAAGGCGGCCUUCUGGACUGACACUGACGCUGAGGUGCGAAAGCGUGGGUAGCAAACAGGAUUAGAUACCCUUGUAGUC
This 465-nucleotide ribosomal RNA is filed under the name Vreelandella stevensii. RNAcentral describes it as "partial 16S ribosomal RNA". It matches the Rfam family "Bacterial small subunit ribosomal RNA", at positions 338 to 795 of the family's 1533-position model. Lineage: Bacteria; Pseudomonadati; Pseudomonadota; Gammaproteobacteria; Oceanospirillales; Halomonadaceae. The record is from RNAcentral.